RNAcentral lists this ribosomal RNA (429 nucleotides) under uncultured bacterium. RNAcentral describes it as "bacterial SSU rRNA". It matches the Rfam family "Bacterial small subunit ribosomal RNA", at positions 355 to 775 of the family's 1533-position model. The record is from RNAcentral.
UAGGGAAUAUUGGGCAAUGGGCGAAAGCCUGACCCAGCCAUGCCGCGUGAGCGAUGACGGUCCUCGAGAUUGUAAAGCUCUUUUCUGAGGAAAGAACAUCCCGGGUAGGAAAUGCCCCGGGCUUGACGGUACCUCAGGAAUAAGGAACGGCUAACUCCGUGCCAGCAGCCGCGGUAAUACGGAGGUUCCAAGCGUUGUUCGGAAUUACUGGGCGUAAAGGGAGCGCAGGCGGACAAGUCAGUCUAAAGUGAAAUCCCGGGGCUUAACCUCGGACUUGCUUCGGAUACUGCUUGUCUUGAGUUCGUGAUAGGAAGAUGGAAUUCAGGGUGUAGCGGUGAAAUGCACAGAUAUCCUGAGGAACACCGGUGGCGAAAGCGGUCUUCUGGCGCGAAACUGACGCUGAGGCUCGAAAGCGUGGGUAGCAAACGG